AGGACAACUAGCACUAAGCGUGACUGACAUAAGUAGUCACAUGGAUGUCUGCGCACUCGUUAGUGACUUUCUCGAUGCUGUAGUUGUAUGACUGGUCCUUUGACCUGAGAUGACACUACUGCUUGCAGUGAGGCUGCUGGAGUUUGACUGAUACAUCAACAUAGGUCUUAAUGAGCCCUUGUAGUGGAUAUUGGCGACAGUUGGUCCAAUGUAGGAAUGGGGUGUGCAUCA
This 231-nucleotide long non-coding RNA is filed under the name Elaeis guineensis (African oil palm). RNAcentral describes it as "long non-coding RNA (EGUI_LNC048118)". The record is from RNAcentral. Lineage: Eukaryota; Viridiplantae; Streptophyta; Magnoliopsida; Arecales; Arecaceae.